Molecule: ribosomal RNA, 253 nt
Filed under: uncultured bacterium
Lineage: Bacteria
Description: partial 16S ribosomal RNA
Rfam family: Bacterial small subunit ribosomal RNA
Source: RNAcentral
UACGUAGGGUGCGAGCGUUAAUCGGAAUUACUGGGCGUAAAGGGUGCGUAGGUGGGUAGGUAAGUCAGUGGUGAAAUCUUCGAGCUUAACUCGGAAACUGCCAUUGAUACUAUUUAUCUUGAAUACUCUGGAGGUAAGCGGAAUAUGUCAUGUAGCGGUGAAAUGCUUAGAUAUGACAUAGAACACCAAUUGCGAAGGCAGCUUACUACAUAGUUAUUGACACUGAGGCACGAAAGCGUGGGGAUCAAACAGG